This 71-nucleotide transfer RNA is filed under the name Microdevario nanus. Its description in RNAcentral is "tRNA-Gln". It matches the Rfam family "tRNA". From Rfam's summary of the family: Transfer RNA (tRNA) molecules are approximately 80 nucleotides in length. Lineage: Eukaryota; Metazoa; Chordata; Actinopteri; Cypriniformes; Danionidae. The record is from RNAcentral.
UAGAGGGUGGUGUAGUGGAAGCACGAGAAGUUUUGAUCUUCUAGGUAUGGGUUCGAGUCCCCUCUUUCUAG